This 405-nucleotide ribosomal RNA is filed under the name uncultured bacterium. Its description in RNAcentral is "partial 16S ribosomal RNA". It matches the Rfam family "Bacterial small subunit ribosomal RNA", at positions 30 to 526 of the family's 1533-position model. The record is from RNAcentral.
AUUGAACGCUGGCGGCAGGCCUAACACAUGCAAGUCGAACGAGUGGCGGACGGGUGAGUAAUGUCUGGGAAACUGCCUGAUGGAGGGGGAUAACUACUGGAAACGGUAGCUAAUACCGCAUACAUCCGAUGUACCCAGAUGGGAUUAGCUUUUGGGUGGGGGAACGGCUCACCAUGGCGACGAACCCUAGCUGGUCUGAGAGGAUGACCAGCCACACUGGAACUGAGACACGGUCCAGACUCCUACGGGAGGCAGCAGUGGGGAAUAUUGCACAAUGGGCGCAAGCCUGAUGCAGCCAUGCCGCGUGUAUGAAGAAGGCCUUCGGGUUGUAAAGUACUUUCAGCGGGGAGGCGUUACCCGCAGAAGAAGCACCGGCUAACUCCGUGCCAGCAGCCGCGGUAAUUC